UGGGGAAUUUUGGACGAAUUGGGCGAAAGCCUGAUCCAGCAAUGCCGCGUGUGUGAAGAAGGCCUUCGGGUUGUAAAGCACUUUUGUCCGGAAAGAAAUCCUUGGCUCUAAUACAGUCGGGGGAUGACGGUACCGGAAGAAUAAGCACCGGCUAACUACGUGCCAGCAGCCGCGGUAAUACGUAGGGUGCAAGCGUUAAUCGGAAUUACUGGGCGUAAAGCGUGCGCAGGCGGUUUGCUAAGACCGAUGUGAAAUCCCCGGCGUCAACCUGGGAACUGCAUUGGUGACUGGCAGGCUAGAGUAUGGCAGAGGGGGGUAGAAUUCCACGUGUAGCAGUGAAAUGCGUAGAGAUGUGGAGGAAUACCGAUGGCGAAGGCAGCCCCCUGGGCAAGUACUGACGCUCAUGCACG
Molecule: ribosomal RNA, 410 nt
Filed under: uncultured bacterium
Lineage: Bacteria
Description: partial 16S ribosomal RNA
Rfam family: Bacterial small subunit ribosomal RNA
Source: RNAcentral